ACCAAUCGCAGGCAUGGUUCGUCUCCGAAAACCCU
Molecule: small RNA, 35 nt
Filed under: Sinorhizobium meliloti 2011
Lineage: Bacteria; Pseudomonadati; Pseudomonadota; Alphaproteobacteria; Hyphomicrobiales; Rhizobiaceae
Description: putative ncRNA
Source: RNAcentral